Molecule: RNase P RNA, 370 nt
Filed under: Bifidobacterium phasiani
Lineage: Bacteria; Bacillati; Actinomycetota; Actinomycetes; Bifidobacteriales; Bifidobacteriaceae
Description: Bifidobacterium sp. 6T3 RNase P RNA component class A
Rfam family: Bacterial RNase P class A
About the family: Ribonuclease P (RNase P) is a ubiquitous endoribonuclease, found in archaea, bacteria and eukarya as well as chloroplasts and mitochondria. Its best characterised activity is the generation of mature 5'-ends of tRNAs by cleaving the 5'-leader elements of precursor-tRNAs.
Source: RNAcentral
UGAGACCCCUUGAUGGCCGCGGCCGCGCCGGUCCGCCGGCACGGCUGAGGAACUUCCGGGCUCCGCAGAGCACGAUGGCGGAUAACGUCCGCCCAGGGCGACCUGAGAGAUAGCGCAGCAGAGAACAGACCGCCCGGCGUUGCCGGGUAAGGGUGAAACGGCGGUGUAAGAGACCACCGGGCCGCUGGUAACAGUCGGCCGCAUGGCAAGCCUCAUCGGGAGCAAGGCCAAGCAGGAGGCGUUCGAGGGCUGCUCGCCCGAGCCUCCGGGUAGGCUGCUAGAGCCUGGCGGCGACGCCAGGUCGAGAUGGAUGGCCAUCCGUGCCGCGCAUGCGGCACGACAGAACCCGGGGUAUAAGGGGUCUCACUUU